RNAcentral lists this ribosomal RNA (741 nucleotides) under uncultured bacterium. RNAcentral's name for it is "bacterial SSU rRNA". It matches the Rfam family "Bacterial small subunit ribosomal RNA", at positions 62 to 796 of the family's 1533-position model. The record is from RNAcentral.
UUGAACGGCAGCACGGGGGCAACCCUGGUGGCGAGUGGCGAACGGGUGAGUAAUAUAUCGGAACGUGCCCUGGAGUGGGGGAUAACGCAGCGAAAGUUGCGCUAAUACCGCAUACGAUCUACGGAUGAAAGUGGGGGAUUCGCAAGAACCUUAUGCUCGUGGAGCGGCCGAUAUCUGAUUAGCUAGUUGGUAGGGUAAAAGCCUACCAAGGCAUCGAUCAGUAGCUGGUCUGAGAGGACGACCAGCCACACUGGAACUGAGACACGGUCCAGACUCCUACGGGAGGCAGCAGUGGGGAAUUUUGGACAAUGGGGGCAACCCUGAUCCAGCAGUGCCGCGUGAGUGAAGAAGGCCUUCGGGUUGUAAAGCUCUUUUGUCGGGGGAGAAACGGCUCAUCCUAAUACGAUGGGCUAAUGACGGUACCCGAAGAAUAAGCACCGGCUAACUACGUGCCAGCAGCCGCGGUAAUACGUAGGGUGCAAGCGUUAAUCGGAAUUACUGGGCGUAAAGCGUGCGCAGGCGGUUAUGUAAGACAGAUGUGAAAUGCCCGGGCUCAACCUGGGAACUGCAUUUGUGACUGCAUGGCUAGAGUGUGUCAGAGGGGGGUAGAAUUCCACGUGUAGCAGUGAAAUGCGUAGAGGUGUGGAGGAAUACCGAUGGCGAAGGCAGCCCCCUGGGAUAACACUGACGCUCAUGCACGAAAGCGUGGGGAGCAAACAGGAUUAGAUACCCUGGUAGUCC